AGAGUUUGAUCCUGGCUCAGAUUGAACGCUGGCGGCAUGCCUAACACAUGCAAGUCGAACGGAAACGAUGCUAGCUUGCUAGCAGGCGUCGAGUGGCGGACGGGUGAGUAAUGUAUAGGGAUCUGCCUAGUAGUGGGGGACAACAUGUGGAAACGCAUGCUAAUACCGCAUACGCUCUACGGAGGAAAGUGGGGGACCUUUCGGGGCCUCAUGCUACUAGAUGAACCUAUAUUGGAUUAGCUUGUUGGUAAGGUAAUGGCUUACCAAGGCGACGAUCCAUAGCUGGUUUGAGAGAAUGAUCAGCCACACUGGGACUGAGACACGGCCCAGACUCCUACGGGAGGCAGCAGUGGGGAAUAUUGCACAAUGGAGGAAACUCUGAUGCAGCAAUGCCGCGUGUGUGAAGAAGGCCUUAGGGUUGUAAAGCACUUUCAGACGUGAGGAAAAGUAAUAAUUUAAUAAAUUAUUGCCUUGACGUUAACGUCAGAAGAAGGACCGGCUAACUCCGUGCCAGCAGCCGCGGUAAUACGGAGGGUCCAAGCGUUAAUCGGAAUUACUGGGCGUAAAGCGCGCGUAGGCGGAUAUUUAAGUCAGAUGUGAAAUCCCUGGGCUCAACCUAGGAACUGCAUUUGAUACUGGAUAUCUAGAGUAUGGUAGAGGUGAGUGGAAUUUCAGGUGUAGCGGUGAAAUGCGUAGAGAUCUGAAGGAACAUCAGUGGCGAAGGCGACUCACUGGGCCAUUACUGACGCUGAGGUGCGAAAGCGUGGGUAGCAAACAGGAUUAGAUACCCUGGUAGUCCACGCCCUAAACGAUGUCA
RNAcentral lists this ribosomal RNA (817 nucleotides) under uncultured bacterium. RNAcentral describes it as "bacterial SSU rRNA". It matches the Rfam family "Bacterial small subunit ribosomal RNA", at positions 8 to 814 of the family's 1533-position model. The record is from RNAcentral.